GUUUAACCACUCAAAUCUCAAGAGAAACGACUCAUAAUUUCAAGCUUGAAACACCUCUCAACACAAUCCAAGAAUGGCCUCUAGCAAUUGUUUCAUAUUAGCUUUCUUUGUGGCUUUGGCAUUUGCUUCCAUCAAUGAGGGGCUAGCAGCUCGUAACCUAUUGCAAUUGCCAACAUUGCCACCUCUGCCUUCAGUACCAGGGAUGCCACAGCAGCCAACGUUGCCAACAUUGCCAAAGCCAAUGUUGCCACCACUGCCAAAGCCAACGUUGCCACCACUGCCAAACCCUACUACAAUUCCAAGUAUCCCAAAAAUUCCGACUCUGCCCCCAUUUCCAAGCAUUCCCUCAAUUCCUAAUAUACCAAGUACAAUUCCUUCCAUCCCUUUCUUCUCUCCACCUCCUUCUACAAAGAGCCCUUGAAUUUGUCACUUGGGACUUCAUUAUUUAGUUCUAAUUAUUUGUAUUUACUCGAGUAUUUGUUAUGUUUUUUAUCUGUCUAUGUUCGAAGCAGUAUUGAUGUUCAUUUCUCAUUUCUCGUCAUCUUUGUUUGUACAUGGAUUAGCAAUCCAGAUUCUAUUGAUUGUACUAUAUAUUAUUACUGAAUAAGAAUUGGUUUCCAUAUUGAACUAGGUUGUACUGGAUUUUUGUUAAUUUUCUAUACAAUAUUGUACGGUUAAAUAGCUCCGCUUAAAAUGGUUGUCCGUAAUCAAAAACCGACUUGCACUAGAACCUUUCUACACGGAGAUUUGGAGAAGUCCAAAAACAUUUCUUUUGAAAAAAAAAAAAAAAAAAAUUCUACAAUUAGGAAUGAACUAGGAAAA
This 822-nucleotide long non-coding RNA is filed under the name Citrus sinensis (sweet orange). RNAcentral's name for it is "long non-coding RNA (CSIN_LNC003443)". Lineage: Eukaryota; Viridiplantae; Streptophyta; Magnoliopsida; Sapindales; Rutaceae. The record is from RNAcentral.